RNAcentral lists this ribosomal RNA (406 nucleotides) under uncultured bacterium. RNAcentral describes it as "bacterial SSU rRNA". It matches the Rfam family "Bacterial small subunit ribosomal RNA", at positions 119 to 518 of the family's 1533-position model. The record is from RNAcentral.
GGGCAACCUGCCGGAAAGAUGGGGACAACAUCCCGAAAGGGUGCUAAUACCGAAUGUUGUACGAGGGACGCAUGUUCCAUGUACUAAAGGAUCCUAUCCGCUUUCCGAUGGGCCCGCGUCCGAUUAGCUGGUUGGUGAGAUAACGGCCCACCAAGGCGACGAUCCGGUAGCCGGCCUGAGAGGGUGAACGGCCACAUUGGGACUGAGACACGGCCCAGACUCCUACGGGAGGCAGGCAGUGGGGAAUCUUCCGCAAUGGGCGAAAGCCUGACGGAGCAACGCCCGCGUGAGUGAAGAAGGCCUUCGGGCCGUAAAGCUCUGUUGCCGGGGAAGAGUGCUAUGGGGGAACCUGUAGAGGGACGGUACCCGGCGAGGAAGCCGCGGCUAACUACGUGCCAGCAGCGGC